This is a long non-coding RNA of Bombus impatiens (common eastern bumble bee), 356 nucleotides long. RefSeq lists it as uncharacterized. The record is from RefSeq and is a predicted model, not a curated record. Lineage: Eukaryota; Metazoa; Arthropoda; Insecta; Hymenoptera; Apidae. The transcript is spliced from 2 exons.
CCAUGACGAUGACGAGCAUCGUCGAUGAGGUGGUGGUCGGCAAUAGAAGGAAGACACGAAGUAGUCGGAGACGGUUAUUCGGUUCGCCAGCGACGGAAUCGAGGAACUUUGCGACGCGUCGUCGGUCAAAGAGUGAUGAUUAUUGGUAUCGAGAGUAACCCUAUUGCGGAUAUAGAGUUGUCAGAUAUAAUUGUAGACUGAAAAAGCUGUAAAAAAAGCUUUUAUGAAAAAAUAGUAUGAUAUUAUCUCUCCUCUGCAAUAAUCCUCGAGCAAAAUUGGGGAAAGGUCUAUUGUGUAAAGCAAAUCCGUAUAAUUAAUCGUAAUCGAAAAACUCGGUGGAAUUCAAUUUGAGCCUC